CCCAGUCUAGUGGAGUACACUGUGCAAGAUCAUAGUAAGACUCCUUGCUAGCAUAUGCUUGUGUUUAAUGCAGCGACCUGCUUCUGCAUGGUGAGUUUACACAUACCCUGCAGUGAAGGUAGUGUGUAUGUGUAUGUGUGUGUGUGUUUGUGUGUGUGUAUGUAAUAGCAGUAAUCAGUGUACCUCAAACAGACAGAGUAUAACUAGGCCUGGUGUGGUGAGAGCUGUAGACCAGCUCUUGGCUGCCGGCCUGCAUUCACAGUUUCUGUCGCUCUGUGUAUGUUUAUGUUUGUACGUGGUUACUCAAGCUGGAGACUCCACCUUUGGAUAGCACCAAGACAGCGGAGGCCCAAAAGGUUAAGGUAACAGGAAGAGGUGUCAGUGUGAGUGUGAUGUUUGUCCCUCACAGGUUGUUGUACUUUUUCACAGCAGCGAGAAUUUCCUCUGGUGGGGUACAGUGUGAUUGUUCAGGUGCAGUUUGUUCUUUUAUACACCUUUGACCUCUUUGUGUGUGUUUUUAGAGCUCACUCUGUGCCUUCAUGUGUGGGUGUGGACCGAGCUGUGCUGUUCAGGUCUCUGUGGAUGGGAUGCUAUCAGUGUUGUCAGCAUGACGGCAGGAGCAGCAUGUCAGGGAGUCAGAGGUGGGCUUGAGACAGGCUGAGACAAAAAUGAGAGAAUACAAUUUAAAAAAAAAGGAUGAUCAUGGCAGUUUCUUGAAGUAUGUGUUAAUCUGUCAUUGAAAAAGAGUAAAAAUGCAUUUUGACUUGCAGCUAUACAUGCUGGAUUGUAGAACAACAGAUUGUCUUUGCCUAAACUUAGUAAUUGAUUGAAUGUGGAUUAAAUAAAUGCCCUGUCUUGACCCUAGUUAUAUACUGAUAUAUCACUAAACUUGCAAAUGGUACCACUUUGCCAAGCUCUCUUUUAGCAGAGAGGUACACCUAAAUAUUGUCAUCUGGUAUUAUACAAAAUUACUGCAGUACCAAUGAAAAACAAGCUUAUGUGUUUGAACUCAAACACAUAGAUGAAUCUCAUGUUUUUAUUGUAAGAAAGCUUAAAAGCUCCCGCUGAUGAAAGUGGCAGUGUCACAGCAGGAUGGACAGAUUUAGACGAGUCUCAAUCAUUAGAUGCAAAAUUGAGGUAAAGUUUCAGGAAAUACACCCAUAAUUGAGUUGAAAGUUACAUCCUCUAUCUCCACUGCAGGACCUCAUCCGUUUUUUUCAUUUGUUGUUUAACUUUCUUGACCUCUGUUCGCCUUAAGUACUUUAAAAGAAGCGAUUUUAGAGUUUCACUUUGUUUUUCAGACUUUUUUAUUAGCUUGCAUGUUGGGUGAGAGAUGUAUGAGUGGCUAAAUAAUUCAAGUUGGGAUCAAAGAGACACCAUUUCGCCAAGCUUUAGGCAAAGAUGGGAAGAUUAGUCACAAAAGAGAAACCAAGAUAACUUCCAAUCAUGGACAAUUUUGUUCUUUAUCGGGUUUGACAGUGUGGAGGCGUGGGAAUGAGACAGGCGAGAGAGCGUGAUACCGUGUUUCAACCUCAUGCUUAUAUGGUUUUUCCACUUUCACACCCUGCUCUAAUUUCACAGUACAAAGUCCUGGCUGCACCUCAGCUCGUUGUCGUCCCUCGAAAAAAAAAAAAAAUCAGUGGACCAAACUGGCCAGUGACUGAGCUUCAGCUCACCAAUAUCAGCGCAACACGCGGUCGCCUGCAUGUGCACGCUUAAUUUGGUUGUUAUUGUCAGUUAUGUCUCCCAAUGGAGCCACAGCGCGUUGGUUCAGGGGCCAGGUUUUAGUUCCACUCACUGGUCUAAACACACACAUGGAGGCUGAUGUGAGGUCCCUCUGGGCCGCCCCCCUCUUUAUGUGUGGAAACCUGAAACUUUUAGCCCAUACUGACGGCUCAGUUCUGUAUUUUUCAUCCCGAUGAUGGAGAUGUAACGGCCGGGGUGAGGAAUUUUUGGCUUGGAUUGUUUGCACAUUGCCUGCAUAUGAUUUUACUUUGUGGGUCAAAACAACAAACACAAUGAAUAAUGCAUACGUUUACCACAAUUACCAUAUUUUUAAAAUUUACACACACUGCAUUUGGAAACAAAGCUUAUAAGUGAGCUUUUACUGUGGUUAUUUUGAUUAAAAAUCAGCAAAGUACAAUAACAAUACUGUAUAAGUAGCUGAUUCAGGACUGUAAACACACAUAAGAACAUUUUAUCCAUGAAUGCUUUUAUCUGUUCCAGUCCUGUUACUUAAACGAUGACCUCUCUGUUCCCUGCCAGUGAACAGCCUAAGGACUAUCUAAUCCUAAAUCCACUGUCAUAUUCACAUCACUGGGCUCAUCCCAGCUCCAUACUCCAUCAAAGGAAACAAACAUUUCAUUAUCAUUCAAAGUCCCUGCAAAAUCACUAACACAAUCCAUCAAAUCUAGACACUUUUUAAAAUAAUUCAUCUUAAGUCCUCUCUUAUGUUAACAUCUCACUUCCUGCAUCUUCAGGCCCUAAUUGGCUGAGUUUGAAGACAUGGUCAGUGGCUACGUGAUCUGAACAUUGUUGCUGAAUAAUGAGUAAGCUUUAAAACAAAUAAUGGCUGAGCUUUACUAUUAAACUCUCACACAGGGGAUUUGUAGAUUAGUGUCGCUGUUUCCAUCUCAUACCCUCGACCCGCUGAUGUGACAUUGCAGACGCCAUUGCCCUGAUCUCUAUGCAGCUUGGAGUCAUAAUAAUGAGCAACAGGAUGAGUGCAACAAGGAACUGUGAGACAAAUCCUGCGUGCAUGUGCUGUAAAGUGUAAACACUCUUAACUGGAUUCACCUGAUUUGUGCCGGUUUAUGCCUCAAUGUGCUGAGCAGGGUUACAGAUGCAGCACCCAGGCUUAUUAUAAGACCUAAUUCAAUUGACCUGGAGAUGUAAACACAUGUGUGUGUGGGGGGAGUGGAUAUAAGGAGGCCAAUUAGGAGGGCUACAACACUGAGCUGCUCUGAUUUGUUGUCCUGGGAGGAAAAUGGCCACAAAGCCUUAAAGGUAACAGUGAGAACCUGAGGUAAUAGCAUGUUUUGUAGUGUGUUGUCAGAGAGGGAUACAAAAAGAGAGGGGGUCAGCACGGGCCCAGCUAGUGUCCCAUGCUUACUUGGGUGUAAUGACCCAUCAAUGGUGACAUCUUGUUUCAUCAACUUCUGCUUCCCUUCACUUGUCUGUCUGUCUAAGCCGACUCUCUCUCUCUUUCCCCUGCUCCUCUCCCCUCCUGCCUCCUGAAAUCCAUCUUCCUUUCUCAUGUUUUCUCAUGUCAGUGUAGCUGUCUGUCUGUCUGUGAACCUCAGAUACAUCACAGAGAAAAAACCCUGAACCAUGUUCACAAGGAUGCUAAGGUUCAAGGUGCGCGUGUUUGUGUGCGUGUGUUCAGUCUGGCCUUUACAGUUGAAACUAUACCACAGAUCGAUGACAAGAACUGCGUGUGUGGAAAGACAUCAUAUCAAAUGUGUCCUUAAAGGGAUAUUCCGGUGUAUAUUUAAGUUAUGGUCAAACACACCAUAACACCGAGUUAGACACCCCCGAGAGAGAAAUGAAUGUUGCCGACUGCUUGCUUCUCUAGUUAUACCAACUUCAGCAACGACCACAUGAUAGCAAUACACAGCAGUCUAUGUCUCCACGCACAAGCCUCAACCAAAAAGUCACUCUAUAGCUACAAAUAAUGCUCAGAACAGCACCUAACUUCAUCAACAGGACAUAUUGGUCCCGGCCAUAGCACUAGCCACCAAACAUCUUUUUAACUUUGCCUAAUUUCUUUAGCAAAGAGACUAAACACAACCCACCCACUCUCUUCCGGCAGACGCUCGUUUGUGGGUGAGCCCUGAUGAUCGCUGAUCACUGAGUGCAGUGGAUCAUUUCCAUGAAGUAAUAAUCAUCAUAAUAAUCAUUUUGCACUGCAGGCGCGAUAGUUUUUCUACCGUAGUGUCUUGGUCUGAUUGCAUUUCCACAAAGUAUUAAUCACAAAUGUUCUUCCUUGAGCUGUGAAACUCCGCUGCACACGGUGAUCGAAAGAUUUUUAAUGAUUUUCAAAAUUUAAAUGACCACAAUCAAACUUUAUGUAUUACAAGCACUUCAUUACAGCUUUCAUUCAGAGAGAUAAGUUUUCAGAAAGAAAUAGAAUUUGGCCGAUAAUGUGUAUGAGACUUUAAUCUACUGGGUGGCUGAUAAAACAACAACUGCUGUUGAGCUACCUGAGGGAUCACUGAUGUUUUACUGCAGUCCUGCACGGAUACCGGCCAGAGUGCUACUGUGCAUGUCUUAGUUUCACCUGCCUGGAUGUUGUUGCCCACAAAGGCAGGGUUUUAGUUUCACAAUGGGUGGACAUGAAAUGAUGUUGUCAGUUUUAUAUACAGUCAAUGAUCAAAACACAAUCUGUGUGACUGACACAGAGAUAGAUCCCACAGAGACUCAACAGACGUGCAUUAAAUUAUGUGAACCCAUAUACCAUAACAGUAUAAACUACAUUCUAAUUCCCUCAGUCAGACGGGCAUGUGUGUGUAUUUUUUCUGUUUGUGUGUGUGUGUACGCACAGAGGCAGGGGGCCCAGCUGACGAGGCCUCUCACUGGGACACUGGCAGGCCUAACCCGCCGCAGGCCGAGCUCUCAGCUCUACCUCUGACAGGCUUCAUACUUAUUGCUCAAUGACAUUCGAUGUUUUCCUUCAGUUUGCUGUAAGAUUGAUUUCCCAGAUAUGUUUGAAAUAUCUCCAGAGCCCUAGAGCGGGGUGAGUGGCACAGUGGCACCGACAGAAAGAGAGAGAGAAAGGGGAGAGGAAGAGAGAGAGGGGGGUGCAGGGGAGGAGAUGGUGUGCACAGAGCAAAGAAAAACAAAAUGAUGAUCAAAUACACUAUGAAAAAUCACUGAUGUACCAUGUUUCACCUGAGGAACACUGUUUGUACUGCCACAGUCAUAUUGCUCUCAGAGUUUCUACUUAAUGAAUCAUGUAAUUACUUCAAAAUGUCAGAAAACAAAAAUGAUCAUGGUAAUUACACUUAUCUUUUAAGGAAACAGAAAUUAUAUACCCAUUCACAUUUGUUUGGUAAAAUGCUCGAUGCCCAUUUAACCUCAGCAAGGUUAAGAAACAUGAGAUACACAGAUGAUUGCCCCUCUAUUGACCUGUUUCCCAGCUUCUCUGAAUGGCUUGUUUCAAUAAGUUAGUGAGACUUGUCCUGAACCUGAUGUCAGACUUUUGUUUUUUAAGCAGAAGAACUUUACUGAUCCCUGAAGGGAAAUUCACAUUUUAGUGUUUGUUGUGAAGAAAAAUCACAGCUACUUUUCCCACCUCAAAGUCAAAGCCUCCAGAAAAUAAUGGGAAAUUCAGUGUGAGCUGGAUUUAAGUAAGCUGUUGCUAAAAUCUGUUCAUCUAGAAGGACCUUCAUGAAGGCUCAGAGUCACAAUCUGGCAGAAACAUUAAAACAGCAGAUAAUAAAACAAGAACUCAUUUACAACAGAGGAGACAGCAUGGACACUUCCACUUAACCUGAGAUGUUUGAUGUUAAAAAAAAAAAAAUCCCAUGGGCCACAAAAGGGCCCAGAACUGACUCCGAAACUGUGCAAAAAGAAACACCCAUUUGCUGUUUUACUUCAUAUCAGCAGUAAAGGAAUGACAUGUUUCAGGCAGAGGCUGGAAAGUGCGGAAAUGAGGGUUUUUUUGAGCUGGAAAUGAUGCAGGGCUACCCUUUGGGUGUCCCAGACUGACACGGUGAACGAUAAUGAUGAGUAAACUAGGUCUCUUCACCUUCUUCUCAAAUAUUUUAAUCAUUCUGAUCACAUGUUGCACUGUUUUCGCUCGUAUUUGUAAAAUCUCUGAGAGCAAUACUCGUGAUUGGUGGUGCAGCUGUAGGCAUCUACAUGGUACCUGUUCCUAAAGAAGUUCAUACAAAAAUGUGCAUGCAGCUGAAGACACACGCCAACCUCUUCUGGAAGAGAAACAAACUAAGCCAAAUCAUCAAACAGAACCUUUUUUUUCCUCAUCUACUGAGUCUUGAUGUGGACAAUGCUGUGUAAGUCUAGGUCUCAGUCCAGUUACUAAACUCUGAUCCCAAACUUGCACUUGAGUAUUUCAAGCUCACUGCCUCAAUUUCAAAGUGCUUCUCAAUGGCAUUCACUGUUGCUAAGUAAUGAGAGUUGUCCCACACAGCAUGUCUUCUUUCCAUAGUGGUGACUUUUAAGUCUGCAUUACAAUAGUUUAUGAGCUUCACAUUUGCGUUGAUUAAAUGUCAUUUUACCAAAAUAAAUAAAUAAAUAAAUGAAUAAGACAGUUGAUGAAAAUUGUGUCAAAGCAUUAGUAGAGCUGGAAAUUGUACCUGGAUAAAAUGAGUAUGGGCAGUGUCUCCCUAUCAUUUUUGUUGACAAAGACCUUACCAGAAGUCCCGCCACUUUUUGAUCCUGAUUGGUUGUUGGUCUAGAAGUGACAUUGAUGGGCACAGUGGUGUGCCAAGAGUGUAACAAUCCAUUUUGGUAUUGCUUGAUAGGCCUUAGCUUUAAAAUGCAGCAUUUUUGCAGUGAUUGGGAGUAUGGCCUUUGUUUAACUUCUGCUAGUUUCCUUUAGAUUCAAUGUGCUCAUAGCUCAGAGGAGAUUAUUUCAAAAGGAGGUUCAGAAUAAAUGGGGGCAUGUCGUAGCUGGACCCAGAAAGGCCUUAAGGUCUUUCUAGCGUGACUCUUGUUGUGGCAUCACUUCACCUCUCUCUCCUGACGUGUUGUCAGAAGAGUGAGGCCUCAUUAUGAAAUUUUCCCCUCUGUGAAAAUGUGUCCCUGGUGCAUAUUACAUUGUGACACGCCUCGUCACUGAGCAUUCGAGCACAUUUACUGCUUUGUUUUCUUGGGAGCAGGGGGAGGGGAGGGGCCCCAUAUCUACUGUUUUAAACUCUUUAAUGCAAUUUAACAAUGCCACAUAUUCUUUUCACGUUUCAUUGGGGUCCUCUACGUGUGAAAUUGCAAAGGCCUGCCUUGCCUGAGCGACACGGUGCAGCGGAGGCAGGGUCACACCGAAGCGCCAGAUGUGGGAGGGAGAGCGAAAUUAAUUGCUACACAAUGUUCAGUGGGUGUGUGUGCACCUUUAGUGAAUUAAGCGCUCUCAGGGUGUGACUGUUUGAAUAACAGGAAUUAGGUAUGAGGCCUCUCACUCACAGCUGAAGCCAACUGCAGGCAUUGGAGCCAAUUAGCUUAUCUGGCCCUGAAUUCACAUGCUUAACUUGUUGUUUGCCAGCGUAGAAAGAAGGAAAACACUUUACCUAACAACUCACUGCAUUCUGUUGUUUUUCUUUCUGUUUUUUAAAGUUCUCACGCCAACAAACAAAGCAUCCAAAUUCCUUUUUUGCUGCUCUUAUAAGGCAAAAAAAUAUAUAUAUCCUAAGAUCAUUCAGUUAUUUUUAGGACAAUAGAGGACCAUCCAUCUAAUUCCAGUGACAUAUUGAGAUGGACAGUUAAAAUGGUGAUGACCUGAAAGCUAUGCAUUAGGUGCAAAUGGCAAACUAAUUAGAGAGAGCGUCACUUUGAUCCCAUUAAUGUGAAUCUUAAUGUGUUCCCUUUAGUCUUGUGGUGCUAUCAGAGGAGCCUUCACAAUGUGGCUGAGAGCAGAGGUAAUGCACUUUAAUGACAGUUAAAUGGCAGAUGUCAGGGACAUAUGGUGCUCUUCUAUGUUCAUUUACAAGCCCAUACCAUCCUUUAGCACAAACGAGGGAUAAGAAGAAAAUCACAUUCAUGAUAAACAUGUAUCGAUGAUACUGCUUUCUUUAUCUGAUGUCCCUUAAUUGUAGAUGUAGAGCGAGUAGUGCUGUCAUACAGUUAAAAAUAUCAAUAUAAUUAACUACAGGCUUUAGGUCUGAUUGCAAGUGAUCGCAUAUAAAUGAGGAAGGUGUUGCACCAUAGGUUAACAUAAUGCUUAAACAUAUUUUCCGUUGGUUGAAAAUUAGAGGUAAAAACCGGGGGUCAGUUGACAUUGUUUUUCAAUCCCAGAUCCUGUUGUCUUCCCUAGGGCAAGAUGCUUGACCCCAAUUUGCACCUCGUGGUGGUUUCAGUAAUGUGUAAAUGGGAUUAUUUAAAAGUGGGAUUAUUCAAAAUUGAUGGUGCUUUCCACAGCAGCCUCUACCAUUAGUGUGUAAACGGGUGAAUGUGACAUGGAAUGAAAAGUGCUUUGAGUGGACAAGAAGACCAGAGAAAUAGAUAUAGAAACAUAGUCUGUUCUCGAUUUACCAAUUAGUCUUUUGGAUCCCUCAAUAAUCUGAACUGAACUGGACUGAGAAAAUGGUCAAUGUUUGAAAGUUAUGAUCCAGUUGACUGAUGUUUGCUGAGUUAUUUCAGUGUCUUCAAUCUUGUGAGACCUAGACAUUGACGUUGUAACUUUAAAACGAGUAACCCUAUCUUACAUCACUGAUCAGGGAGUGUUAGCAUUGGCAAGUAGCAGCACAAGCAGCCUCCAAUAUUAAACACUAUUACAGGCCACAAUGCAGUGGUUAUCAUGACGUCUAUGGUAAUUUUUUGUAACUGAGGCUCACAACCUGACUGAAUGCUUCAGAGUGACAGUUUUGUCACGUGAUUUUUUUUUUCUUUUACAUUUUUAUCCAUCACAUAGGCUGCUGUGUCCUUGGGUUGAUAAAAUAAUACAUAUCAAAGCCAAAAGAUACAAUGGCAUCUUCUUUAAUAUGGUUUCCACAAAGUUGUUGUGGAUGGUCUUUUCUAAAGAGUGUUCAAACAAUCAAACUUCACUUAUUGUUAAAGGAAACUUGGACGGGCUAAAUGGUCAUCCGAUGACAACUGAUGAUGGGUUUCUGGAUUGUAUAACUUAACCCAUCUAUUUGGGGACAGAGAUAUAUCGUCUCUAGAGAAAAUGGUCAUCUUUCUGAGGCUGUCAGUCCAUCCCUUAGCAAGAGAUACUAGACAACCAGCUAAGACUUCUUUUACAAUGUGUUGAAAGAUCUAAAAUCUAAAAGCAGCCUGUUUGCUGCACUUCUAUGUAGAAAUCUGUUUACAGAUUACCAGAGCCAGUUUGUCUUCAGAUUAUGUCCUAAACUUAAAAUAUAUGAAAACUCAAAGCCUGCUGAAAUGUUACUGUUCAGUUGGGCAACAAACAAUAACAAAAAAGGCUCGCUUUAAAUAUAACGACUUCAAGCUCCUUGACGGAACUUUUCAGUCUGUGAUAAUUGUGGUCCUCCCCUGUGGACAAAGCAGUCUUUGCUAAUCUUGCUCUACACAUGCAUAACAAGCAUCUUUUGACAGCCAAAUGUUUCAUUUCUUGUGAACAAGAUGUAAUAACAGGACUAUUUCUGUAGCUGUUGAAGACAUUUACCUCCUUACACUAGUUUGAAGCAUUAGAGUUACUCUAUAUAAAUUGUUUUUCUUGUUACAGAUGAUCUUGUUUGCUUUUGGAUAUCAUAUAAAGGCAUCACCAUGCAUUAUAAGUGUAUUUAACAAAGAGCUUUAAGUUGAAUAUGAGCUGAUGAAUCUGUCUUUAUGUUUGAAAUCUGUUACUUCUUACAUUUUGUGCAGUCUGUUCAGCCUUCUUAGACCAAAGCCCACUGAAAUGCUCAUGAACUUAAAAGAAACCAGAGCAUUUUGACACCACCAAUCUCCUUCCUCAUUCUGUAUUUGCAGAUGUUGGUGAAAAGAGAUUACCAUGAAACUUUAGGUUUAAGGUGUGGCAGUGCUUCAUCAUAUUUCUUCUGAAGUCCACAAUCAGAGUGUCUCAUUCAGAUCCAAACCCACACUGACUGCCAGCAUCAUCUGUAUCAGAGGAACUAGCAGUGGCAUGCCCACCCUGAUCAUGACCCUGCAGUGGUCUCCAGCAUGGAGAGCUUCUUGUAGCCCAGCCCGACACAAUGGAGCACCUCUUCCCUCCACCUGCCCCCUCCUGUCUCUAUAUUUUCCUUGGCGAUAGGAGGGUGGAGGGUUUGGGGUGGAGAGGUGGCGGUGGGGGCACUCUGCUUCCCCUGGGGCUGCCUGCUGGAGCGAGGUGACCCAGCUUGUCGCUCGGUGACCUGUGAGAGGGACAUUAUGAAGUGUGAGUGGCUGUCACCCUAACCGCUUGUGACAGCACGGCUCCCGGCACAGCUGUGCCAGCCUGCCCCAGCCAGAGAUCCAGGGCCUGUGGAGGAAGGGUGGGGGAGGAAGGGGAGGAGAGGGGCUGCUGUGGAGAGGGUGCAGGCUUCAGAGUGGGGUGUCUAUAGUGGUGGAGAGGGAGGGGAAGAGUAGAAGGAGAAAGGAGCUGAGGGUGUUGGGGGUCUUUGCUUGUACUGGUGUAAAGGCUGCACCAUUGAUACUGCUUUAAGGAUGAGCCUGCAGCUCCACAAUGUCAAAGUCAGCCCGGCUUGGCUCUGAGAUACAGGACAUCAAAGGGAUGACUGCAGAGGUGUGCACAGCCAGCUGUUAUCCUUAAAGCCAUAAGGGUGACAUACUGUACAUGUGCUGUAUAUGGCAUCUAUAUGAUGAGCCAAAAAUAACUUUCUAACUUUCUCUGUUUCCCGUCCGACCUAGAACUUUCUCCAUCCAUCAAACACCCCACUCAUUUUGGUUCUAUUCCUGGAGAGGUUUUAGGAAUAUCGAAUUUCUGAGAUUCAUUUAAAGGGUGUUACACAAUGGGCAAUGUAACAGUCUUUGAUCUUUUACACUAUUAUAUCACCCCAAAGCUGGCAGAUAAGGUCAGACAGAUUUCAGGAGGACUUUUUUUUUUCUUGUUACCUUAUUUGUCCCUCAAAACUGUGGGAGAUAUGUCAUUUGUGCUCUUGGUCAACACUAAUGUUCUGCUCAGAUUUUUUUUUGUAAUUUGAUUAUUUUACAGAUCAAGUAUUUCAUCUUAGUCCGUCCCAAUAAUAACAGAUAUUAUUGAUUUUAAGGAUGUGAACACUGAAUGAUAAAAUCACCUAAUGGGGCUAUAACCAUAUCUCACCUUUACUAUGUAACUGUGUGUAUACAUCCCUUAACAGUACACACUCUUCACUGAGACUAUAUUUUCUAGAUCAAAGUACAACACAGCAUUACUGAAUACCAGCUGUUAUCUGUGCUUGCUUAGUAGUAGUAGUAGAGCAUUACUAAAUUAUGUCAGAAGCCAUUUCCAACCAGCAGAACCAGCUCUUGGGAGAAAUACAAAUAUUGUAAUUAAUUUUACUGACUGCUAAUUGUGUCAAGUACAUGGAUUGUACUUGUAAAGGACCUUUUAAGUCUCCUUUUAGACCACUCAAAAUUCUCCCACACUACAUGUCCCAUUCACCCACUCACACACAAACACACUGAGAGCAGAGGAUGCUAGAUAAGGUAUUAGUCCUUCCACACACACUCACACACACUUGUACUUAAAGGAAAGGGCUCGUUGUUUGACAUUUUCCAAGUAGGCCUGGAGUUUCAGCCUUUUUUUGCACUCCUGAAGCUACAGUGUCUGCGACAUGGAAAUGCUAAAAUGGUUUAUAGGAUGCACAGUUUGUUCCUGAUAUAUUUAGACCUGUUUGAGUAGUUUUAAGAUACCAGUCUACAUUAGCUGUUACUGAGAUGACCCCUCAGAUGACCCCAGCCAGCAGCAGGCUGCAAGGAGGCAGCAUAUACAAUUGAUUUAAAUGAACUGAAUUUAAGAAAAAUUACCAAGGACAGAAAAUUAUUACAAGUACAAGAAAUCUGUGUUUAAAAAUCUUUGUUUGGUUUCAGAAAAAAAAGAUUUUUAAAAGAAUACUUCACCACAUGUGAAAUGUUUUGAUGAUGUUUUUCCAUUUAUUGUUUGACAGUUGGGGACUCUGACAGUGAUGGGAGGUUAGGAGGUGUCUCAUCCAAGAGAGGUUUUUUUUGUUUGUUUGUUUUUUUAAAUUCUGAGAAAGUCAGCAAAUGAAUGAGAUCCAUGCUAAAAAUGGUUGAUGUGUGCAGUGUUUCUGUAGCUAAUACUGUAGCACAUGAUGUUCUCAACCAAAGAUUUGUAACCUAAAAAUACUCAGUUGAAAAUUUUAGCCUCUUUGUAGCAUAAAUUACCUUCUUAUUGCUGUCCUGUCAUAACCCCUUUCUUUUUUACAUGUUCAGUGCAGUGUUUGUUUAGAAAUGACUGAACUUAGUAUUAGUUUUAGAAAUAACACUUCAGGGCAAAGAGGAAACAUAACCAACAAAAAUUAAAGAGCUCAGGUAUAAACUAACUUAUUUUCUGGGGUUGUAUUUUGUUGUUCGAGUUCUCUGAAUUCUUGAUUUCACACUGUCUUUUCCAUCCUUUGAUUUCAGUUCCUCUGCUACUUUCCUCUCCCAGUCUGGUUGUAUCCCUACUCUCUCUCUGUAUGUAUCCCUCUGUCACGGCUGACCUGCGUCCUCUCUCUGCAGGGCCUCUCCUGGUAGCGCCCAGCUGGCGCACUGUGACUCGGCUGGGCAGAGGCAGGAGGCAGUGCCAGCUCUACUGGUGCAGAAAGGGGCACACCAGGCAGACAGGCCCAGUGUCAGCAGCAGCAGCAGCAGCAUGCUAUCCCCCGGCUGCCACAUCCACAACACACACAUAUGCCCCGUGUAUAUAUUGUUGUAACCUAACGCAUGCACACACCAGCAUCAGUGGACCAUUGCCAAAUAGGUUUGGUCCGACUGGGACCUAGUUAACUGGGACAAAACAUUUGUUUACACACUAGGCAAACAGGCACACAGACACAUUCACAGAGCAGGAGAGGUGGAGCCAUAUUCACAGAAAGAGAAGUUUACCAGGUCUUUGCUGAUGCUUUCUGACUUUGACUCUGACAAUCCUAGCACAGGGUCUCUUAUUUCCUGGAGGCAGUAUAGAGCAUGUAAUAAAGCACAUAUUGAACAACAUGCAUGUGAAUGUCUUGAAUCCAUCCCUUAGGGUCCACACUUGAAGGUCUAAGUAACUGAGAAGAGGAUUCAUGGGCUUCUUGCCUGAAGUUAUCUGUUCAUGUUUUCUGCAUGGGCCAAUUUUACUUGUCACUUUUCUAUUCUGCUCUAACCUACAAUAACUAAUUACUACUACUAACAUUUUUAUUUGGUUUUCAGUCAAAAUAACAGUACAAACACACAUCUGUGCCGUGCACUGCAUGCAAGAAUAUUCCCUGACACAGAACAGCUGCUCAUAGUGAUGACUGAGUUUUGUGGUUCCCUGACCCCUCGCUGACCUCUUCUCUGAAGUCAAGAUUUCAAUACAAAUAGUUGCAUAUUCAUUCAGUGGUACAUGUGAGCUUUAGUGAUACUGAGAAUUGGGAUUCAUGUGAAGAGCCUUUCAGAGUGUGUGGGUCAGGGUAUUAAGGCUCGUACCACAGCGUGUGUGUGUGUGUGUGUGUGUGUGUGUGUGUGUGUGUGUGUGUGUGUGUGUGUGUGUGUGUGUGUGUGUGUGUGUGUGUGUGUGACUUUGACUUCAAUCAUCUGUAAUUGUUACAGCCAUACUUUAUUUGCCAAAUAUAUCGUCCAAUCAGCACUAUUUUUAUAAAGCUGCUGUAUUAAUUUCUUUAUGGUAUACUUGAGUUUAGGUUGCACUUUACCAAAAGCGCCCAAACUCUUGCUAAAGCACGUUUUAAGUAUCAAUAAUAUGUUUUUUCUUUGAAAAUCAUAGAAAGAAAAAUCUCUUAUGGUACACUGAAUGGGGGUUUUAUGAACUUUUACAAUUAAAUGAAAGUGUGGGGGUAAAAUGUGUUGGUAGAGUACAGCAAUACCAUCCAGAUCAAGGCCUGCUUACAAUCCCAAAAUCACAUAAAACAAACAAACAAACAAACAAUGAAACACUUUUUUGAGCUACACCAAAUCACUGUCUCAGACAAAAAGAAUAGCUUUUUUACCUCUUAUAAAAUAUAGUUUUAAGAAUUGUACAUUUGCAUCACUUUUAUUUUUCCUUCAUUUGUGGUUUUCUAUCUUUCUCUUACAUUUGGCACAAUUCUUGCUCUAUAAAUAAAGUUGUUUUCUCUCAGAGCUACUUUAAAAACUCAAGUAAAUCCCCGCUGACCUGAGAUCAGACCCGCUGUAAUUAAGACCAGCAGGGGAGACAGGGAACAUGUUGCACCUUGACUCACAUGAUUUUAAAACUGGAGACCUCAGGGCGGAUUGAAAUGUCAGGAAAUAUACAAAAUAAUGCAACAAUAUUGUGAUAUAUGUAUGGAGCAUGGAGCUUAACAGCAUUGUAAGUGUGACUCAUUCUAACUCAGACAAUCCUAUAGGGUUGGAUUACCGACAGAAAGAGGCAAAUUCGUUCAGAUUUGCAUACUGUUUGAUCAUCCAAGUCCUGAGUAUUCAACCAAACUUCCUUUUUUGUGUUUGUGCUUCUGUAUCUGUGUGUAUAUGAGCGUGUAUAUAUGAGUGUGUGUGUGUGUGUUCUGACCUCUUUCACACAGAGAGACCCCCAAUUGUGCUCCUGUAGCCAGCCGCGCUCAGUGAAGCAGCGCCUAUAUGCUCACUGGCAUUUCACACACCCAAACGCGUGCAUGUAAACACACAUGAAUGUCAUUUAUCCAGCUGGGGUCCCCAUGCGAUGCUCACACACCCACAGACUCACACUGACUCGGGUUUGAAUAUGGAAAUAAUGGUUGGGGUCUUGUCCCCUAAUGUUCACCUUGUGCGCUACCUCCAUGUGGCAGAAAACCCCAAAGCAAUAUCUCCUCAGUCUAACUCUCCCUCCACUCUGCAGGUCAACCCAUCCUGUGCCAUCCCCGGGAUUCGAGGCGUACUUCCGCCUUAAAAGUUGUACACCACUACCUUUGAUAAUCAAGAUAGAAACUAAUUGAGCUCACCCAUGCAGAAGAUGCUCUCGCCUCUUCGCGUACACACACACACUUUUUAAGGAGACGGGGGCCUAUACUGUUUCAGCUCAUCCAACUGUGAGAUUCUCCUCUCCCCUUUCCAGUCCUGCCAUCAUCUCACUAAUGGUGUUUCUAUCUCCUCUCCAUAGGAGGUAAAUGAAGCUUUUAAGCAGGGUGGAGGGAAGGGGGACCGCUGAAAAGAUUAAUUGACUUUCUGCAGAGCUUCACUUAUCCUCCGCUGGCACCUUUUGACUUGUGAGCAUAUUUGUGUUUGGAUUACAUGAUUAUAUCACCGUUAUGGCAGCAAUUUGUGGGUUUAUUCAAAACUGUGUCAGGAAAUAUCAAACUGUGUGCCAUCAAUCAUUUCAUCUGCAGUGGCUGCUUAGUACAUCCGUGCAAACAGAGCAACUCUUUGUGGGGUUAUUGGUAAAAUAUUGUGCAACAUUAGACCAAAAUUGAAACAAAUGACAUUAUCUCCACUCUUUGUAGGUUUUCAAACAUUUUGUCCAGAAAUACAGUGUUUUCUGGGUUCAGUUCUUACCUGACAGUCUUAAAUAGUUGAUGGUUGAAAACUCUAAAACACAGUUAAUUCUCAACAGAGAAAACACAUCAUUUAAAUCAAUCUGUGCAAAGGAGUCGGGCAAAUUUUACCUGUGGCAAAAACUGUUCAACUGGUUUACGUAGUAAAACAGUUAUUCUUGUCUCAGGCGGUCUAUAGGUGAGAAAUACCGAAAGUUACUCAGUACAUGUGAAAGCAGCCAGAAGAGCUACGGGAUCCCAACACUCUCUGAUAGCCAAAGUGGAUCACAUCGUGACCUGCAAUCCAGAGCUACACAAAUGUUGUAAAUGGCUGUAAUGACAACAGCAAAUACCAAGAGUUGUGAAAUUUGUUUCAUUUCUGCUCAAAGGUGUGUCGACUGAAGGCUCAGAGGAGAAGGAGCGCUGACUGAGGAGGACAGACGUAUCCCGCUCACCUUGUCUAACAUUCGCUAUUGGUGGAAAUGUUCAAUUAAAUGUGAGUUUUGACAAAUAAGCAGUAAGAUUUUUUAAGUAGUAUUUUAUGCCUUUUAGUUGGGAGAUGGGACAGUGGACAGAGCAGGAAAAGAGAGGAGAGGGUGGAAAAGGGCUGGAAAUGAAUGCUUGUUAACGGAUUGAGGGCUGUAGUCCCAGUACAUGGGGUGCGUAAUUUGGUAACACUUUACUUGACACCUAUCUCUGUAAUGCAUCAUAAAUAUAUUUAUAAUGCUUUAUAAUCACGUUAUAGCACUGUAUAACUAUAGUUGUGAACACUCACGAAUGAUCAUAAUGUUUUAUAGCAAUAAUCAUAACACAUUAUAAAGCAUUUUAUCAUGAUUUACAAGGUCAGGUAUUAUAAUGUGUUAUUACUGUUAACAACAGUUGCAUGUUUUGCAAUGUUUUAACUUGACUGUGAAUUGAAAUGUAGCCUGAUUUCACUGCUCACACACUCCUUUAAUCUCGGGGGUGUUAGCAGUUGUCCAAUAUGAAAGUCCAGAGAUGAUUGUACAGACCCACAACCAAACAAUUAAUGCUGCAUACGACAAUACACACAGUAAUUUAUAUAUAAACAGACACCGGCAUAGAGAGAAAAGAUACACAGCACUGACUGUGGUAUUGGACAGACACUCAGAAACACAGAUACAAACAGACACAUGUGUUUUAAGCUGUAUAGAUGAUUAUUUCUUUUAAUCAAUGAAACUGUCUUUUUAAUCAAUGUGUCAUCUUGUAUACAACUUAAUUUGGUAAACAUAAUUAGAAUCACUUCAUAGUGAGAGUAGACCUCAGGAUUAUAAUUGACAUAACCACCUACUCACUAUACAUCAUUACACUAACUGUGACAGGAUUUAAACCCUAAAGUGGUCCGAAGCAUGUUAUUGUUUUCUGCAGCGUACCAGCAAACUUUGAUAGAGGCUUUUUGUGGGUAUUUUUGAAUCCUGUCCCCUGGCAAAGGAAAACAAAUAAAUGACUUAAAUUUCCCAAUCAGGGCGGUAUAUUUCAACUUUCGGGAAAUGCUCUUCAAGAUUAUACUGUCAUACGAAGAUCUCCCAUUUUUCUGUUUCUCAUAUACAGUUUUUUCUUUUUUUGUGUUGGAGACUAAUCCCUCCUCUGUCCCUCAAACUCUGUCCCUCCUUUCUUCUCAGACACAAACACAGAAGAUUGACAGGCAGAGCACACUGAGCUGUUUUCCUCUCAUGUUCACACUGAAGUAAGUUUGACUUUGACUCCAAACACCAGCUCGGUGGUUCAGGAAAGCCAAAUGUGUGAAUGUACACAGAGUUCUCUCCCUACCCCCACCUCUCCGCUGUAAACUCCACCACCCACAGCUGCACACGCUUCUCCUGUCACGGUGAUAAUCUCUUUGUCAGGAGCCGUCUGUUACAGAUUUGUCCGUCUGAUUCGCUGAACGUCCGAGUGGCAGGUCUGGCUGUAGUGCCACAGGGUGUCCGAGGCUCUUUGUGUGUGUGUGUGUGUGUGCCCAUCCAGUGCCAUAGGUGGUGGGAUCUCCGUCCCUGUCACAGUGUGUAAGUCGCUUGUCUUCAGAACUCUGUUUCGAGGAGGGAUGUUGAGCAGAAGAGGGACAGAUACAGAUACAAAUGGAAGAAGUGUUUCUAUUUUACGUUCUGAGGUCGGUUUAAUGUAAUAUAUUUAUCAGAGUUUGACUGAAUCCAGAUUUAUCUUUCCAGGUUUUAGCGCUCCUUGUUUUCCUGGUAUUUAGGUUUUUAUCCCCUAUAGAAUUUUUUUUACAUCUGAAAUGGCC
RNAcentral lists this long non-coding RNA (17472 nucleotides) under Xyrichtys novacula (pearly razorfish). The record is from RNAcentral. Lineage: Eukaryota; Metazoa; Chordata; Actinopteri; Labriformes; Labridae.